GAUAUGGGUCCGGCGGGGGGUCUGGAUACGGUGAGGGAGGCGGUGCCCAUGGAGGAGGCUAUGGAAAGGGUGGCGGCGGCGGUGGAGGUAGUGGUUCUGGCUCUGGCUCAGGCUCUGGGUCGGGCUACGGUUCUGGCUACGGAUCCGGGUAUGGGAGUGGUGGGGGGCACGGUCACCCUUGAAUCAUAGAGCAACAGCCGCAUGAAGCCCUACAUGUUAUCUCUCUUCGUAGCAUGUAAUUUUCUUUCAGUAAUACGUGUCUUUCGAGUAGUUUGUAAUGAAUAGUGCACCGAGAAUUAGUUUCCGUUGUGAUAAAUAAUGGAAGGGCUUCUGUUCCUAAAUAAAUGUAACGUUACUUUUACGGAAAUGAAGUUAUGGAUUUCCAUGAUUACCAUAUUUCUUUAAUGCAAAGAUGUGAAUGAUCC
This 425-nucleotide long non-coding RNA is filed under the name Elaeis guineensis (African oil palm). RNAcentral's name for it is "long non-coding RNA (EGUI_LNC040054)". Lineage: Eukaryota; Viridiplantae; Streptophyta; Magnoliopsida; Arecales; Arecaceae. The record is from RNAcentral.